AAAGAAAAUAACAAUGAUUCCCCUAGUAACGGCGAGUGAAGAGGGAUUAGCUCAAAUUUAAAAUCUGCUGGGUUUACCUAUCAGAGUUGUAAUUUGAAGAGGCGUUUUCCGCGUCAUUGUUGGUCCAAAUCCUUUGGGAUAAGGUAUCAUGGAGGGUGAGAAUCCCGUCCGGCCGACAUCAUGAUGUUUUACGAUACGCUUUCAAAGAGUCGAGUUGUUUGGGAUUGCGGCUCAAAAUGGGAGGUAAAUUUCUCCUAAGGCUAAAUAUUGGCGAGAGACCGAUAGCGAACAAGUACCGUGAGGGAAAGAUGAAAAGAACUUUGAAAAGAGAGUUAAAAAGUACGUGAAAUUGUUGAAAGGGAAACGAUUGAAGUCAGUCGUACCGACGAGAAAUCAGCUUUUCGAACGUGCAUUUGUGGGCGUAUGAGAUCUUCAUUGUUUGCAAUAUGUAUGUUUCUUUGGUGUACUUUUUCGUAUGGUAGGUCAACGUCGGUUUUGGUCGCCAUAAAAUGAUCGGAGGAAUGUAGCUUCGACCUCGGUUGAAGUGUUAUAGCCUUUAGUAAAUGUGGUGAUUAGGACCGAGGAUUGCAACGAAUACCUUUUAGGCUAUCCGUCUGACCUCUGAAAGUUACUUAGGUGCCGAAAGCUUGCUUACGGUCAUUUAAGUUGACGGUCAAUAGGUUAGAACGUGAUUACAUUCGUUAAGGACGUUG
RNAcentral lists this ribosomal RNA (713 nucleotides) under uncultured Glomus. Its description in RNAcentral is "eukaryotic LSU rRNA". It matches the Rfam family "Eukaryotic large subunit ribosomal RNA", at positions 58 to 628 of the family's 3401-position model. Lineage: Eukaryota; Fungi; Glomeromycota; Glomeromycetes; Glomerales; Glomeraceae. The record is from RNAcentral.